UACGUAGGGCGCAAGCGUUGUCCGGAAUUAUUGGGCGUAAAGAGCUCGUAGGCGGCCUGUUGCGUCCGCUGUGAAAUCCCGGGGCUCAACCCCGGGCGUGCAGUGGAUACGGGCUGGCUGGAGGCAGGCAGGGGAGAACGGAAUUCCUGGUGUAGCGGUGAAAUGCGCAGAUAUCAGGAGGAACACCGGUGGCGAAGGCGGUUCUCUGGGCCUUACCUGACGCUGAGGAGCGAAAGCGUGGGGAGCGAACAGG
RNAcentral lists this ribosomal RNA (253 nucleotides) under uncultured bacterium. Its description in RNAcentral is "partial 16S ribosomal RNA". It matches the Rfam family "Bacterial small subunit ribosomal RNA", at positions 524 to 776 of the family's 1533-position model. The record is from RNAcentral.